UCCCCAAUGAUGUCAGUCUAGAGCAGCCCCUUCAGAACAAUUGCAGUAAUGACACAAGGGAUCACGGUCAUGUCAGGUCUGCCAGAAUAGAUUUUUUAAUUGCUGUUUGUGGUUUUUUUUUUGUCACCCGCUUUGUAGACACAUUUAAUUACAGAUGCAACUUAAGUCAUUUAUAUGUCUUUCUGACUGACAGAUAUAUUGGUUUAUGUCCUAGCUGCAAAAUUAUGCCCACAGAAUGCCAAAGAAAAAGAAACACAUUUUCAAAAAAUUCAGUUGAUCUUAAUAAGUUUACCACUGUUUGUUACCCAUACUGUUUGUGAGACAACACUGAAAUGUGGAUGAGGCAAGCACCAAUAUCACUCAUGGAAAUUUUCACCAGAGUUACACCAGCACGUGUCAUCUUAUUGCCGUGGUUUUAUUCUUAUAACAAUAGUUAUGCUUCAAUACUAGUAAAAAACAAUUCUAGUCAAGUUUGUGACUCUUCUUGGCCAUGCCUGGACUCCAGAGGAGUCAGUGGUUGGUCCCUCCUGGAGGGGUGAUGCAGAGUGGUGCUGAGCCCCUGAAAUACUCACAGGCACGUUCUAGGAGCCAAACUCGGUUCCACAUAGUCUGGGAUGAGUUUGUAGCUAUUGAUAUAGUCAGCAAAGUGUUCUGUACAAAUCAAAGCAGAAAUUGCUCUAUGCUUUAGGUUCAAGCAUAGAAAAGAAAUAAUUGAUUUUGUUCUUUAGUAAAUACUCUGAUUUAAUUUAUGAGAAUUGGAAAAGGUCAUCAUGUAUUCAUCUGUACCAGCCCUUUUACCUGGGCAGAGUUAAGACACAGAAGACCCGCAAGAGAGAUGGGAAUAAUUUAUAUAUGAGAUGGAAAGGCAAGAGAAAAAGAAAUCAGUUCAGUUAGAAUAUUCCAAAGCAAAUUCAUGCUCUACUGAAGGAUCAAGUACAAGGACUUUGAACGUUUGGGUUAGCUGGGGGACAUUAUCUGAAUUAGAUCCACUUGAAAGGGUGAAAAAGCAUCACUACUCUACCCAGUAAUGCCAUAAGUCUUCAGCUUUUGUGGUUGCUGUUAUUAAUGCAGUAUCUUGCUUUCAAUAAGUAAUGUUUACAUUUCAAUUUUAGCUUCCACCAGAGCUCACAGUUCGCAUAUUUUUGUAGCUGUUAAAUUCCAUUGCAGUGAAGUCCUGUUUAAUUCUUUCUCUUGAGUCUGCUAUGUAAUCUUGAUUUCUUAAGCAUAUUUUUUAGCUCUUGUAUUCUCUUAUUAGACUCGGGAUAUUAUGACAUUUUCAAAAUGCUUUCUAUUUAUAACUUAACAUUAUAGAAUGUCAAGAAGAAUCAAAAGCAUAGAGAGAUGACAGAGAAAAAUCCCAUUUAAAUGAUCUUUCCAGGUCACAUUUCUGAGUUUUGCUUAAAAUGCCUUCUUCAGGAGCUAAAAUUGCCUUUUUAGAAAGUGAAACAU
Molecule: long non-coding RNA, 1449 nt
Filed under: Cyanistes caeruleus (blue tit)
Lineage: Eukaryota; Metazoa; Chordata; Aves; Passeriformes; Paridae
Description: lncRNA (ENSCCEG00000010447.1)
Source: RNAcentral